GGGUUGACUGGUGGUAGCUAUCAGCACUAUACAGUGAAACUGCGAAUGGCUCAUUAAAUCAGUUAUCGUUUAUUUGAUAGUACCUUACUACUUGGAUAACCGUGGUAAUUCUAGAGCUAAUACAUGCUAAAAAUCCCGACCUCCGGAAGGGAUGUAUUUAUUAGAUAAAAAACCAAUGCCUUCGGGCUCCUUGGUGAUUCAUGAUAACUUAACGAAUCGCAUGGCCUUGCGCCGGCGAUGGUUCAUUCAAAUUUCUGCCCUAUCAACUUUCGAUGGUAGGAUAGUGGCCUACCAUGGUUUCAACGGGUAACGGGGAAUUAGGGUUCGAUUCCGGAGAGGGAGCCUGAGAAACGGCUACCACAUCCAAGGAAGGCAGCAGGCGCGCAAAUUACCCAAUCCCGAUUCGGGGAGGUAGUGACAAUAAAUACUGAUACAGGGCUCUUUUGGGUCUUGUAAUUGGAAUGAGUACAAUUUAAAUCCCUUAACGAGGAACAAUUGGAGGGCAAGUCUGGCCC
RNAcentral lists this ribosomal RNA (515 nucleotides) under Orbilia oligospora. Its description in RNAcentral is "SSU rRNA". It matches the Rfam family "Eukaryotic small subunit ribosomal RNA", at positions 61 to 567 of the family's 1831-position model. The record is from RNAcentral. Lineage: Eukaryota; Fungi; Ascomycota; Orbiliomycetes; Orbiliales; Orbiliaceae.